RNAcentral lists this ribosomal RNA (2989 nucleotides) under Salmonella enterica subsp. enterica. RNAcentral's name for it is "bacterial LSU rRNA". It matches the Rfam family "Bacterial large subunit ribosomal RNA". RNAcentral also lists the same sequence under 1 other name. The record is from RNAcentral. Lineage: Bacteria; Pseudomonadati; Pseudomonadota; Gammaproteobacteria; Enterobacterales; Enterobacteriaceae.
UUAAGCGACUAAGCGUACACGGUGGAUGCCCUGGCAGUCAGAGGCGAUGAAGGACGUGCUAAUCUGCGAUAAGCGCCGGUAAGGUGAUAUGAACCGUUAUAACCGGCGAUUUCCGAAUGGGGAAACCCAGUGUGAUUCGUCACACUAUCAUUAACUGAAUCCAUAGGUUAAUGAGGCGAACCGGGGGAACUGAAACAUCUAAGUACCCCGAGGAAAAGAAAUCAACCGAGAUUCCCCCAGUAGCGGCGAGCGAACGGGGAGGAGCCCAGAGCCUGAAUCAGCAUGUGUGUUAGUGGAAGCGUCUGGAAAGGUGCGCGAUACAGGGUGACAGCCCCGUACACAAAAGCGCAUGUGCUGUGAGCUCGAUGAGUAGGGCGGGACACGUGGUAUCCUGUCUGAAUAUGGGGGGACCAUCCUCCAAGGCUAAAUACUCCUGACUGACCGAUAGUGAACCAGUACCGUGAGGGAAAGGCGAAAAGAACCCCGGCGAGGGGAGUGAAAAAGAACCUGAAACCGUGUACGUACAAGCAGUGGGAGCACAGGUUUACCUGUGUGACUGCGUACCUUUUGUAUAAUGGGUCAGCGACUUAUAUUCUGUAGCAAGGUUAACCGUAUAGGGGAGCCGUAGGGAAACCGAGUCUUAACCGGGCGUUAAGUUGCAGGGUAUAGACCCGAAACCCGGUGAUCUAGCCAUGGGCAGGUUGAAGGUUGGGUAACACUAACUGGAGGACCGAACCGACUAAUGUUGAAAAAUUAGCGGAUGACCUGUGGCUGGGGGUGAAAGGCCAAUCAAACCGGGAGAUAGCUGGUUCUCCCCGAAAGCUAUUUAGGUAGCGCCUCGUGAAUUCAUCUCCGGGGGUAGAGCACUGUUUCGGCUAGGGGGCCAUCCCGGCUUACCAACCCGAUGCAAACUGCGAAUACCGGAGAAUGUUAUCACGGGAGACACACGGCGGGUGCUAACGUCCGUCGUGAAGAGGGAAACAACCCAGACCGCCAGCUAAGGUCCCAAAGUCAUGGUUAAGUGGGAAACGAUGUGGGAAGGCCCAGACAGCCAGGAUGUUGGCUUAGAAGCAGCCAUCAUUUAAAGAAAGCGUAAUAGCUCACUGGUCGAGUCGGCCUGCGCGGAAGAUGUAACGGGGCUAAACCAUGCACCGAAGCUGCGGCAGCGAACGUAUCACCCAAGACAACUUUACGGAGUUGACGAUUGACGGAGCGAAGCGACGUCAAAGCGUUCAUUAAAGUCGAGUUGGCUUAGGGAUACGUUCGUUGGGUAGGGGAGCGUUCUGUAAGCCUGUGAAGGUGUGUCGUGAGGCAUGCUGGAGGUAUCAGAAGUGCGAAUGCUGACAUAAGUAACGAUAAAGCGGGUGAAAAGCCCGCUCGCCGGAAGACCAAGGGUUCCUGUCCAACGUUAAUCGGGGCAGGGUGAGUCGACCCCUAAGGCGAGGCCGAAAGGCGUAGUCGAUGGGAAACGGGUUAAUAUUCCCGUACUUGGUGUUACUGCGAAGGGGGGACGGAGAAGGCUAUGUUGGCCGGGCGACGGUUGUCCCGGUUUAAGCGUGUAGGUGUGUGUUCCAGGUAAAUCCGGUUCACUUUAACACUGAGGCGUGACGACGAGGCACUACGGUGCUGAAGCAACAAAUGCCCUGCUUCCAGGAAAAGCCUCUAAGCAUCAGGUAACAUCAAAUCGUACCCCAAACCGACACAGGUGGUCAGGUAGAGAAUACCAAGGCGCUUGAGAGAACUCGGGUGAAGGAACUAGGCAAAAUGGUGCCGUAACUUCGGGAGAAGGCACGCUGACACGUAGGUGAAGUGAUUUACUCAUGGAGCUGAAGUCAGUCGAAGAUACCAGCUGGCUGCAACUGUUUAUUAAAAACACAGCACUGUGCAAACACGAAAGUGGACGUAUACGGUGUGACGCCUGCCCGGUGCCGGAAGGUUAAUUGAUGGGGUCAGCGCAAGCGAAGCUCCUGAUCGAAGCCCCGGUAAACGGCGGCCGUAACUAUAACGGUCCUAAGGUAGCGAAAUUCCUUGUCGGGUAAGUUCCGACCUGCACGAAUGGCGUAAUGAUGGCCAGGCUGUCUCCACCCGAGACUCAGUGAAAUUGAACUCGCUGUGAAGAUGCAGUGUACCCGCGGCAAGACGGAAAGACCCCGUGAACCUUUACUAUAGCUUGACACUGAACAUUGAGCCUUGAUGUGUAGGAUAGGUGGGAGGCUUUGAAGUGUGGACGCCAGUCUGCAUGGAGCCGACCUUGAAAUACCACCCUUUAAUGUUUGAUGUUCUAACGUGGACCCGUAAUCCGGGUUGCGGACAGUGUCUGGUGGGUAGUUUGACUGGGGCGGUCUCCUCCUAAAGAGUAACGGAGGAGCACGAAGGUUGGCUAAUCCUGGUCGGACAUCAGGAGGUUAGUGCAAUGGCAUAAGCCAGCUUGACUGCGAGCGUGACGGCGCGAGCAGGUGCGAAAGCAGGUCAUAGUGAUCCGGUGGUUCUGAAUGGAAGGGCCAUCGCUCAACGGAUAAAAGGUACUCCGGGGAUAACAGGCUGAUACCGCCCAAGAGUUCAUAUCGACGGCGGUGUUUGGCACCUCGAUGUCGGCUCAUCACAUCCUGGGGCUGAAGUAGGUCCCAAGGGUAUGGCUGUUCGCCAUUUAAAGUGGUACGCGAGCUGGGUUUAGAACGUCGUGAGACAGUUCGGUCCCUAUCUGCCGUGGGCGCUGGAGAACUGAGGGGGGCUGCUCCUAGUACGAGAGGACCGGAGUGGACGCAUCACUGGUGUUCGGGUUGUCAUGCCAAUGGCACUGCCCGGUAGCUAAAUGCGGAAGAGAUAAGUGCUGAAAGCAUCUAAGCACGAAACUUGCCCCGAGAUGAGUUCUCCCUGAGACUUAGAGUCUCCUGAAGGAACGUUGAAGACGACGACGUUGAUAGGCCGGGUGUGUAAGCGCAGCGAUGCGUUGAGCUAACCGGUACUAAUGAACCGUGAGGCUUAACCU